GUCAAGAAAAGUCUCUAUCGAGGUUAAAGGUACCCGUACCGCAAACCGACACAGGUGGGUGAGGAGAGUAUCCUAAGGCCAGCGAGAGAACUGUUGUUAAGGAACUCGGCAAAAUGACCCCGUAACUUAGGGAUAAGGGGUGCCACCAUCAGGUGGCCGCAGAGAAUAGGCCCAAGCGACUGUUUACCAAAAACAUAGGUUUCUGCUAAGUCGCAAGACGAUGUAUAGGAGCUGACGCCUGCCCGGUGCUGGAAGGUUAAGGGGAUCUGUUAGAGCAAUCGAAGCAGUGAACUUAAGCCCCAGUAAACGGCGGCCGUAACUAUAACGGUCCUAAGGUAGCGAAAUUCCUUGUCGGGUAAGUUCCGACCCGCACGAAAGGCGUAACGAUUUGGGCACUGUCUCAACAACAGACUCGGUGAAAUUGUAAUUCCGGUGAAGAUGCCGGAUACCUGCGACAGGACGGAAAGACCCCAUGGAGCUUUACUGUAGCUUGACAUUGGGUCUUGGUACUACAUGUACAGGAUAGGUGGGAGGCUUUGAAACCAGGACGCCAGUUUUGGCGGAGCCAUCCUUGGGAUACCACCCUUGUAGUACUGGGACUCUAACCAUAGGCCAUGAAUCUGGUCUUGGGACACUGUCAGGUGGGCAGUUUGACUGGGGCGGUCGCCUCCCAAAAGGUAACGGAGGCGCUCAAAGGUUCUCUCAGUACGGUCGGAAAUCGUACGUAGAGUGUAAAGGCAAAAGAGAGCUUGAUUGCAAGACAUACAGGUCGAGCAAGGAUGAAAAUCGGACUUAGUGAUCCGGUGGUUCUGCGUGGAAGGGCCAUCGCUCAACGGAUAAAAGCUACCCUGGGGAUAACAGGCUUAUCUCCCCCAAGAGUCCACAUCGACGGGGAGGUUUGGCACCUCGAUGUCG
Molecule: ribosomal RNA, 915 nt
Filed under: Clostridioides difficile
Lineage: Bacteria; Bacillati; Bacillota; Clostridia; Peptostreptococcales; Peptostreptococcaceae
Description: bacterial LSU rRNA
Rfam family: Bacterial large subunit ribosomal RNA
Source: RNAcentral